AACGAACGCUGGCGGCAUGCCUAACACAUGCAAGUCGAACGAGACCUUCGGGUCUAGUGGCGCACGGGUGCGUAACGCGUGGGAACCUGCCCUUAGGUUCGGAAUAACUCCCCGAAAGGGGUGCUAAUACCGGAUAAUGUCUUCGGACCAAAGAUUUAUCGCCUUUGGAUGGGCCCGCGUUGGAUUAGCUCGUUGGUAGGGUAAAAGCCUACCAAGGCGACGAUCCAUAGCUGGUCUGUGAGGAUGAUCAGCCACACUGGGACUGAGACACGGCCCAGACUCCUACGGGAGGCAGCAGUGGGGAAUAUUGGACAAUGGGCGAAAGCCUGAUCCAGCAAUGCCGCGUGAGUGAUGAAGGCCUUAGGGUUGUAAAGCUCUUUUACCCGGGAUGAUAAUGACAGUACCGGGAGAAUAAGCCCCGGCUAACUCCGUG
Molecule: ribosomal RNA, 433 nt
Filed under: uncultured bacterium
Lineage: Bacteria
Description: partial 16S ribosomal RNA
Rfam family: Bacterial small subunit ribosomal RNA
Source: RNAcentral